This 528-nucleotide ribosomal RNA is filed under the name uncultured bacterium. RNAcentral's name for it is "partial 16S ribosomal RNA". It matches the Rfam family "Bacterial small subunit ribosomal RNA", at positions 355 to 900 of the family's 1533-position model. The record is from RNAcentral.
UGGGGAAUAUUGGACAAUGGGGGCAACCCUGAUCCAGCAAUGCCGCGUGUGUGAAGAAGGUCUUCGGAUUGUAAAGCACUUUCGACGGGGACGAUGAUGACGGUACCCGUAGAAGAAGCCCCGGCUAACUUCGUGCUAGCAGCCGCGGUAAUACGAAGGGGGCUAGCGUUGCUCGGAAUGACUGGGCGUAAAGGGCGUGUAGGCGGUUUACACAGUCAGAUGUGAAAUCCCCGGGCUUAACCUGGGAGCUGCAUUUGAUACGUGUAGACUAGAGUGUGAGAGAGGGUUGUGGAAUUCCCAGUGUAGAGGUGAAAUUCGUAGAUAUUGGGAAGAACACCGGUGGCGAAGGCGGCAACCUGGCUCAUGACUGACGCUGAGGCGCGAAAGCGUGGGGAGCAAACAGGAUUAGAUACCCUGGUAGUCCACGCUGUAAACGAUGUGUGCUAGAUGUUGGGUAACUUUGUUAUUCAGUGUCGCAGUUAACGCGUUAAGCACACCGCCUGGGGAGUACGGCCGCAAGGUUGAAAC